RNAcentral lists this transfer RNA (65 nucleotides) under Epicalotermes aethiopicus. RNAcentral describes it as "tRNA-Phe". The record is from RNAcentral. Lineage: Eukaryota; Metazoa; Arthropoda; Insecta; Blattodea; Kalotermitidae.
ACUUGAAUAUCUUAUAUAGAGUACGACAUUGAAGCUGUCGUUGAGGUUGAUAGUACCUUCAGGUG